AUAAAGGCAUUGAAAGGAAGAGUAGAUAAAGUUUUCUUCUAACAGAGAGCUAGAUUAGGUGAAAGCUAGCGUUGAAAGUUUUAUCGAAGAUGGCCCUUGAGCUUUUCAUCUGAAAUUAAGUAAGAUGAAACGUAAAGACGCGUUAUAGUCUACUAGAGUAAAAACUAGGGUGGUACCGUGAGAUAACCUCGCCCCUACA
Molecule: regulatory RNA element, 199 nt
Rfam family: T-box leader
About the family: Uncharged tRNA acts as the effector for transcription antitermination of genes in the T-box leader family. T-boxes are found upstream of many aminoacyl-tRNA synthetase genes and some amino acid biosynthetic genes usually in Gram-positive bacteria. The anticodon of a specific tRNA base pairs to a specifier sequence within the T-box motif, and the NCCA acceptor tail of the tRNA base pairs to a conserved bulge in the T-box antiterminator hairpin.
Source: Rfam